AUGCAARUCGAACGAUGAAGCCCGUGCUUGCACGGGUGGAUUAGUGGCGAACGGGUGAGUAUCACGUGAGUAACCUGCCCUUAACUCUGGGAUAAGCCUGGGAAACUGGGUCUAAUAYCGGAUACGACCAGUCACCGCAUGGUGUGCUGGUGGAAAGCUUUUGCGGUUUUGGAUGGACUCGCGGCCUAUCAGCURGACGGUGGGGUAAUGGCCUACCGUGGCGAUGACGGGUAGCCGGCCUGAGAGGGUGACCGGCCACACUGGGACUGAGACACGGCCCAGACUCCUACGGGAGGCAGCAGUGGGGAAUAUUGCACAAUGGGCGAAAGCCUGAUGCAGCGACGCCGCGUGCGGGGAUGACGGCCUUCGGGUUGUAAACCCGCUUUCAGCAGGGAAAGAAAGCGCAAGNUG
Molecule: ribosomal RNA, 411 nt
Filed under: uncultured Nesterenkonia sp.
Lineage: Bacteria; Bacillati; Actinomycetota; Actinomycetes; Micrococcales; Micrococcaceae
Description: bacterial SSU rRNA
Rfam family: Bacterial small subunit ribosomal RNA
Source: RNAcentral